Molecule: ribosomal RNA, 118 nt
Filed under: Monopterus albus (swamp eel)
Lineage: Eukaryota; Metazoa; Chordata; Actinopteri; Synbranchiformes; Synbranchidae
Source: RNAcentral
GGCAGCAUCCACGCUGCCCUGGUUGUGCCCAAUCUCACCAGAUUUCCGAAGCUAAGCAAGGUUGGGCCUGGUUAGUACUUGGAGGGGGGAGCAUUAGGGAAAAGCAGGUGCACUGGCU